GUGUGACUGCGUACCUUUUGUAUAAUGGGUCAGCGACUUAUAUUCUGUAGCAAGGUUAACCGUAUAGGGGAGCCGGAGGGAAACCGAGUCUUAAUUGGGCGUUAAGUUGCAGGGUAUAGACCCGAAACCCGGUGAUCUAGCCAUGGGCAGGUUGAAGGUUGGGUAACACUAACUGGAGGACCGAACCGACUAAUGUUGAAAAAUUAGCGGAUGACCUGUGGCU
Molecule: ribosomal RNA, 223 nt
Filed under: Salmonella enterica subsp. enterica serovar Stanley
Lineage: Bacteria; Pseudomonadati; Pseudomonadota; Gammaproteobacteria; Enterobacterales; Enterobacteriaceae
Description: partial 23S ribosomal RNA
Rfam family: Bacterial large subunit ribosomal RNA
Source: RNAcentral